AUGGGUGCCCACCCGUAUUCUCCUCCCCAGUUCUAUAUCCCUUUGCCCCAGCUAGCUACUUCCAUCUGCCUCUUCCUGCUCAGAGAGCGAGGGAAUUUCAUCUGUGCGAAGAGGGAUCGAUCGAUGGUGAUGAUGGGGCAGCUGGGGAGGCUCGUGGACGGGCUGAGGUCCAAGAUGCGGGCCGGCGGCGGUGGGAAGAAGGGGGCGGGGAAGAAGGCAGCGGCAGCGUCGGCGUACGAGCAGAUGGGCAAGACGGAGAGCAUGAGGGUGGAGAUCAAGAGCCGGCAGGCGCAGAAGCUCAUCGCCAAGAACCUCGUCGCCGCCGACUCCAUAGGCCGCAGGAGCAGGAACAAGCGCUUCUUCCUCGCCUUCUAG
This 375-nucleotide ribosomal RNA is filed under the name Triticum aestivum (bread wheat). Its description in RNAcentral is "partial small subunit ribosomal RNA". Lineage: Eukaryota; Viridiplantae; Streptophyta; Magnoliopsida; Poales; Poaceae. The record is from RNAcentral.